GAUCGUAGUUACCGAGCCCUCCGGAGCGGCGACCGCCCAAGACCCUCCCGGCGAAGCGGCGGCGGCGGCCGUCGUGGACGUGUUCUCCGCCUCCGCGUACGGCGAUUUGGAGUAACUGAGGAGGUUCGUGGAGCAAGGAGGCGCCUCCCUCGGUUCCCGAUGCUAACGGGUACUACGCUCUCCAGUGGGCCGCCCUCAACAACUUCGCCGACGUCGUCCAGUACAUCAUCGAGAAUGGGGGUAAUGUGAAUGCGACGGACAACUUGAAGCAAACUGCACUGCAUUGGGCCGCUGUUAGGGGAUCCAUUGCGGUUGCGGAUGAGCUUCUGGUUCGGAGCUGGUGGCAGUUCAUGUUGCUGCCCAGUAUGGGCAGGCGGCCUUCUUAAAUCACAUUGUCGCAAGGGCUGCAUAUAAAGGAUAUGCUGACACAAUCAGGUUACUUCUUUUUAGAGAUGCAUCCCAGGGGAGACAAGAUGAAGGUGUAGUGAGUACACGCAUGGCAAUCACUUCCAGAUGUCGGGAGAACAUCUAUAUGUUACCUAUUUACUCUUAGAAAUGGUUUCUUCUGGGGACUUUUAGUUGUUCUAGCAGCAUCUGGUUCAGAAAAUUCUGCAUUUGGGAUUGUCUUUUCUCUUGAUGCAUCUGGUUAGAAACAUGAAGUUUGCAGAUGAGCCUGAACAGACCAUACUGUCGGUAGUUGUGGUAGAUGGCUUGUGAUGCAUGAUGAAUUGCCUAGGCAAUGGUAUCUUAGGCUAAUUGAGUUAUUUAUUAAUAAUAAUUAGAUGAAAAUAUAUUAGCACAAACUUUGGGAGUCCACAUGCAUACUACUAAUUGGAUAGAUAAGUUUCUCUCCAUUGUGAAUGGUCAAGGCAAAACAAUAGGCUGAGGUGCAGCAUCUUGGAGGAAUUUAAUAAAGGUUUAGCUGCUGGUCUUCACAAAAUGUGACUGUGUGGAGCAACUUGACCUUGUUUAACAGCUGGUCUUUACAAAUUGUGGGGUGGGGCAAUAGAUGUUUCUUUGGUUUUCUUUUCCAGUUUAUGGUUGCAUGCAAUGUACAUGACCUUUUUAGAUUUCUUAGUUGCUAUCUUACUUUUGUUUUAUUGGUCCUCAUGAUGAGAUGGUUUAUCAGUUGCUCAAAUCCAUGUAUAAAACUCAUGAGCACUUCUAUUGGAUAACCUCUUAGAAGAUGUGAUUGUUGGCGUGCUGCAUUAGGUUUCGCAUUUUAUUCAAUCGCGAGAUGUUUCUAGGAUUAUGUAGAAUAUGACAUGUAAUUUUGUCGAGAAUCAUUGGAUUAUGUAUAUGUAAACAUAUGUAUUAUAGUUGUUUCUUUUUUAAUGAAUUGAUGUUUCACCAACU
Long non-coding RNA from Eucalyptus grandis, 1356 nucleotides. RefSeq lists it as uncharacterized. The record is from RefSeq and is a predicted model, not a curated record. The transcript has 3 exons. NCBI's taxonomy places the organism in Eukaryota, Viridiplantae, Streptophyta, Magnoliopsida, Myrtales, Myrtaceae.